AGAAAGUAAGCAAGGGCAGACGGUGGAUGCCUUGGCUCUCGGAGGCGACGAAGGACGUGAUAAGCUGCGAAAAGCUCGGGGGAGGCGCAAAUAGCCCUUGAUCCCGGGAUAUCCGAAUGGGGCAACCCGGCAGGCUGAAGGCCUGCCAUCCCGUAAGGGAGGCGAACGUGGGGAACUGAAACAUCUAAGUACCCAUAGGAGGAGAAAAUAAACAAUGAUUCCGUAAGUAGUGGCGAGCGAACACGGAAGAGCCCAAACCCAUGUCGUCUAGGCGACACGGGGGUUGUAGGACCACGACGUGGCAAGAGGAUGGCAAGUGGAACGCCUUGGAAAGGGCGACCGUAGAGGGUGAUAGUCCCGUACACGACUGCCUGCCGAAGCCUAGUGGCAUCCUGAGUAGCGCGGGGCACGAGAAAUCUUGCGUGAAACAGCGGGGCCCAUCCCGUAAGGCUAAAUACUCCCGAGAGACCGAUAGCGAACCAGUACCGUGAGGGAAAGGUGAAAAGAACCCCGAGCAGGGGAGUGAAAUAGACCCUGAACCCGUCUGCCUACAAGCGGUCGGAGCAUAGCAAUAUGUGACGGCGUGCCUUUUGCAUAAUGAACCUACGAGUUACCUUCCCCGGCAAGGUUAAGUACCUAAGGUACGGAGCCGAAGCGAAAGCGAGUCUGAAGAGGGCGGCCAGUCGGGGGGGUAGACGCGAAACCGAGUGAUCUACCCUUGGCCAGGUUGAAGGUUGGGUAACACCAACUGGAGGACCGGAUGGGUAAGCGUUGAAAAGCUUUCCAAUGAGCUGAGGGUAGGGGUGAAAGGCUAAUCAAACUCGGAGAUAGCUCGUACUCCCCGAAAUGCAUUUAGGUGCAGCCUCUUUAUAGUAUAUCGUGAGGUAGAGCGACUGAUUGGAUGCGAGGGCUUCACCGCCUAUCAAGUCCAGAUAAACUCCGAAUGCGCGAUAUAUAUUUACAGGGAGUGAGGGCGCGGGUGCUAAGGUCCGUGUCCGAGAGGAGAAGAAUCCAGACCACCGGCUAAGGCCCCCAAAUGAUCGUUGAGUUGAACUAACGAGGUCGGAUCGCAGAGACAGCUAGGAUGUUGGCUUGGAAGCAGCCAUUCAUUUAAAGAGUGCGUAACAGCUCACUAGUCGAGCGAUCUGGCGUGGAUAAUAAUCGGGCAUAAACGAUCUGCCGAAGCCGUGGAUGUCGUAAGACAUGGUAGGGGAGCAUUCCAUGCGGCGUCGAAGAUGAGGGAUGACCCUUGUUGGAGCGCAUGGAAAAGCAAAUGUAGGUAUGAGUAACGAUAAGGGGGGCGAGAAACCCCCCGCCGAAAGACCAAGGUUUCCUGAUCAACGCUAAUCGGAUCAGGGUGAGUCGGGACCUAAGGCAAAGCCGAACGGCGCCGCCGAUGGAAGAAUGGGUUAAUAUUCCCAUACUGCCUCAUGGAGUGACGUGGAGACGGAGAAGUGACAGUCCUGCCGGCUGACGGAAUAGCCGGUUGAAGGGUGUAGAUAUUGAUUCCCGUAGGCAAAUCCGCGGGGAGAGUCGAACCUGACAGUAUACCGAGUACUUGUACGAGGUAAUAUGGACGUAACCAUGCUCCCAAGAAAAUCCGCUAAACUUAUCCAUGCGGCACCCGUACCGUAAACGGACACACGUGGUCGGGUUGAGAAUACUGAGGCGCUCGAGUGACUCACGGUUAAGGAACUAGGCAAAUUGACCCUGUAACUUCGGGAUAAAGGGUCCUCGUCGUAAGGCGAGGCGCAGAGAAUAGGUCCAGGCAACUGUUUAACAAAAACACAUGGCUAUGCUAAAUGGAAACAUGACGUAUAUAGCCUGACACCUGCCCGGUGCUGGAAGGUUAAGAGGAGAUGUCAUCGCAAGAGAAGCGUUGAAUUGAAGCCCCAGUAAACGGCGGCCGUAACUAUAACGGUCCUAAGGUAGCGAAAUUCCUUGUCGGGUAAGUUCCGACCUGCACGAAUGGUGUAAUGAUCUGGACACUGUCUCAACCGUGAGCUCGGUGAAAUUGUAGUAUCGGUGAAGAUGCCGAUUACCCGCGAUGGGACGAAAAGACCCCGUGAACCUUUACUAUAGCUUUACAUUGAAUUUGGGCAGACGAUGUGUAGGAUAGGCCGGAGGCUUUGAAGGGGGUACGCCAGUAUCCUUGGAGCCGCCGUUGAAAUACGGCCCUUCGGUUGUUUGAGUUCUAACUCCUAGGCAGGAGGACACUGUAUGGUGGGUAGUUUGACUGGGGUGGUCGCCUCCAAAAGCGUAACGGAGGCUUCUAAAGGUGCCCUCAGACCGAUUGGUAACCGGUCGUAGAGUGUAAUGGCAUAAGGGCGCUUGACUGGGAGAGAUACAACUCGAUCAGGUAGGAAACUAGAGCAUAGUGAUCCGGUGGUUCCGCAUGGAAGGGCCAUCGCUCAAAGGAUAAAAGGUACUCCGGGGAUAACAGGCUGAUCAUUCCCAAGAGCUCAUAUCGACGGAAUGGUUUGGCACCUCGAUGUCGGCUCGUCACAUCCUGGGGCUGGAGAAGGUCCCAAGGGUUGGGCUGUUCGCCCAUUAAAGUGGCACGCGAGCUGGGUUCAGAACGUCGUGAGACAGUUCGGUCUCUAUCUAUCGUGGGCGCAGGAGAUUUGAGGGACUCUGACACUAGUACGAGAGGACCGUGUUGGACGUACCACUGGUUUACCGGUUGUCCCGCCAGGGGCACCGCCGGGUAUCUAAGUACGGAUCGGAUAAGUGCUGAAAGCAUCUAAGUACGAAGCCGGCCUCAAGAUUAGAUCUCCCUGAAGGGUGGUUAUAGACGAUGACCUUGAUAGGCCACAGGUGUAAGGGCGGCGACGUCCGAGCCGAGUGGUACUAAUAGCCCGGGACUUUCCUCA
RNAcentral lists this ribosomal RNA (2873 nucleotides) under Parabacteroides distasonis. Its description in RNAcentral is "23S ribosomal RNA". It matches the Rfam family "Bacterial large subunit ribosomal RNA". Lineage: Bacteria; Pseudomonadati; Bacteroidota; Bacteroidia; Bacteroidales; Tannerellaceae. The record is from RNAcentral.